CCUACGGGUGGCAGCAGUGGGGAAUAUUGCACAAUGGGCGCAAGCCUGAUGCAGCAACGCCGCGUGAAGGAAGACGGUUUUCGGAUUGUAAACUUCUGUUCUUAGUGAAGAAUAAUGACGGUAACUAAGGAGCAAGCCACGGCUAACUCCGUGCCAGCAGCCGCGGUAAUACGUAGGUGGCAAGCGUUGUCCGGAAUUACUGGGUGUAAAGGGAGCGUAGGCGGGAAGCUAAGUCAGCUGUGAAAACUACGGGCUUAACCGGGAGACUGCAGUUGAAACUGGCGUUCUUGAGUGAAGUAGAGGUUGGCGGAAUGCCGGGGGUAGCGGUGAAAUGCGUAGAUAUUCGGAGGAACACCGGUGGCGAAGGCGGCCAACUGGGCUUUAACUGACGCUGAGGCUCGAAAGUGUGGGGAGCAAACAGGAUUAGAUACCCUAGUAGUC
RNAcentral lists this ribosomal RNA (441 nucleotides) under uncultured bacterium. Its description in RNAcentral is "partial 16S ribosomal RNA". It matches the Rfam family "Bacterial small subunit ribosomal RNA", at positions 338 to 795 of the family's 1533-position model. The record is from RNAcentral.